CCCGCAACGAGCGCAACCCUUGUCAUUAGUUGCUACAUUUAGUUGGGCACUCUAAUGAGACUGCCGGUGACAAACCGGAGGAAGGUGGGGAUGACGUCAAGUCCUCAUGGCCCUUAUAGGUGGGGCUACACACGUCAUACAAUGGCUGGUACAAAGGGUUGCCAACCCGCGAGGGGGAGCUAAUCCCAUAAAACCAGUCGUAGUCCGGAUCGCAGUCUGCAACUCGACUGCUUGAAGUCGGAAUCGCUAGUAAUCGUGGAUCAGAAUGGCACGGUGAAUACUUU
RNAcentral lists this ribosomal RNA (284 nucleotides) under Variovorax paradoxus. RNAcentral describes it as "partial 16S ribosomal RNA". It matches the Rfam family "Bacterial small subunit ribosomal RNA", at positions 1086 to 1372 of the family's 1533-position model. Lineage: Bacteria; Pseudomonadati; Pseudomonadota; Betaproteobacteria; Burkholderiales; Comamonadaceae. The record is from RNAcentral.